RNAcentral lists this ribosomal RNA (780 nucleotides) under uncultured rumen archaeon. RNAcentral's name for it is "bacterial SSU rRNA". It matches the Rfam family "Archaeal small subunit ribosomal RNA", at positions 1 to 768 of the family's 1478-position model. The record is from RNAcentral.
AGGAACUCACUAGUGAUUUCUGGUUGAUCCCGGCAGAGGCUACUGCUAUUGGGAUUCGAUUAAGCCAUGCAAGUUGAAUGAAUUUAGAUUCAUGGCGUACGGCUCAGUAACACGUGGAUAACUUACCCUUAGGACUGGGAUAACUCUGGGAAACUGGGGAUAAUACUGGAUAUUAGGCUAUGCCUGGAAUGGUUUGCCUUUGAAAUGUUUUUUUUCGCCUAAGGAUAGAUCUGCGGCUGAUUAGGUCGUUGGUGGGGUAAUGGCCCACCAAGCCGAUGAUCGGUACGGGUUGUGAGAGCAAGGGCCCGGAGAUGGAACCUGAGACAAGGUUCCAGACCCUACGGGGUGCAGCAGGCGCGAAACCUCCGCAAUGUACGAAAGUGCGACGGGGGGAUCCCAAGUGUUAUGCUUAAAGGUAUGACUUUUCAUUAGUGUAAAAAGCUUUUAGAAUAAGAGCUGGGCAAGACCGGUGCCAGCCGCCGCGGUAACACCGGCAGCUCGAGUGGUAGCUGUUUUUAUUGGGCCUAAAGCGUUCGUAGCCGGUUUAAUAAGUCUUUGGUGAAAGCUUGUAGCUUAACUAUAAGAAUUGCUGGAGAUACUAUUAGACUUGAAGUCGGGAGAGGUUAGAGGUACUACCGGGGUAGGGGUGAAAUCCUAUAAUCCUGGGAGGACCACCUGUGGCGAAGGCGUCUAACUGGAACGAUCUUGACGGUGAGUAACGAAAGCCAGGGGCGCGAACCGGAUAGAUACCGGGGUAGUCCUGGCGUAACGAUGUGGACU